Long non-coding RNA from Spodoptera litura, 441 nucleotides. RefSeq lists it as uncharacterized. NCBI's taxonomy places the organism in Eukaryota, Metazoa, Arthropoda, Insecta, Lepidoptera, Noctuidae. The record is from RefSeq and is a predicted model, not a curated record.
CAACACCUCACAACUCAUUGAACGCUAGCAGCGAACAGACGUGUUGAAAUUUUUCCUUACAAUUUACUCUAAACAAAUCAAAAUGUACACAAACCCAUUCGAGAGGAAACACUCGUCAUUGAGGCAGGCUCUUGACCGCUUCAUGAGAGGCGAGACCCGGCUAAGCUUCAGGAAGAAGACGGAUUUAUCCAAGUCUUCCAGCAGCAGUACAUCAUCCAUGGUGUCUUCAAACAUGGACUACAACUACAAACCUAAGUUUAACGAGAAGAGGUGAAGAGAACAAUCGUGUGUGUUGUGAUAGUGAAAUAUUAUUGCCAGUUACACUCUCAAAACAGGUCGAGUGUGGCUGAGACCGGUCGAAUGACGUCAGAAGAACGUGGACCAGUAGACGUGGGACUUCUACCCGUUAAUAUGAUUGAAUAAACAUUUAUUUCUUUAUUC